UUGGAGGGCAAGUCUGGUGCCAGCAGCCGCGGUAAUUCCAGCUCCAAUAGCGUAUAUUAAAGUUGUUGCAGUUAAAAAGCUCGUAGUUGAAUUUCGGGGUCAGUAGGCUGGUCGUGCCACAGGUAUGUACUGGUCUUACUGAUUCCUCCUUCCUGAUGAACCGUAAUGCCAUUAAUUUGGUGUUGCGGGGAAUCUGGACUGUUACUUUGAAAAAAUUAGAGUGUUUAAAGCAGGCUAACGCUUGAAUACAUUAGCAUGGAAUAAUGAAAUAGGACGAUCGAUCCUAUUUUGUUGGUUUCUAGGAUUGACGUAAUGAUUAAUAGGGAUAGUUGGGGGCAUUAGUAUUCAAUUGUCAGAGGUGAAAUUCUUGGAUUUAUUGAAGACUAACUAUUGCGAAAGCAUUUGCCAAGGAUGUUUUCAUUAAUCAAGAACGAAAGUUAGGGGAUCGAAGACGAUCAGAUACCGUCGUAGUCUUAACCAUAAACUAUGCCGACUAGGGAUCGGAUGAUGUUAAUUUUUUAAUGACUCAUUCGGCGCCUUACGGGAAA
RNAcentral lists this ribosomal RNA (548 nucleotides) under uncultured Glomeromycotina. Its description in RNAcentral is "SSU rRNA". It matches the Rfam family "Eukaryotic small subunit ribosomal RNA", at positions 548 to 1097 of the family's 1831-position model. Lineage: Eukaryota; Fungi; Glomeromycota. The record is from RNAcentral.